This 272-nucleotide ribosomal RNA is filed under the name uncultured bacterium. RNAcentral describes it as "partial 16S ribosomal RNA". It matches the Rfam family "Bacterial small subunit ribosomal RNA", at positions 28 to 293 of the family's 1533-position model. The record is from RNAcentral.
GACGAACGCUGGCGGCGUGCUUAACACAUGCAAGUCGAGCGGUAAGGCCCUUUCGGGGGUACGACGAGCGGCGAACGGGUGAGUAACACGUGGGUGGACCUCGCCCUCCAGCUCUGGGAGUAAGCCUGGGAAACCGGGGUACGUAAUACCGGAUAUGACUCCAUGACGCAUGUUGUGGGGUGGAAAGCCUUGUGCGGCUGAGGAUGGGCCCGCGGCCUAUCAGCUUGUUGGUGGGGUGAUGGCCUACCAAGGCGACGACGGGUAGCCGGCCU